ACGGCUGGAAGGAAUGAAUCAUGAACUCUGGAUGCCUUUGAAAUGGGGAAAGAGAAGGAUGCGGGACGCUGGGUGGAUGCUUCGCGAGAUGCUGGGAACUCGGCUGAACACGUGGACGGCUGGGAGAAGUUCAAAUGGACACACGAAAUGGGAAACAUGCUGCUGCUGGAUAUGGCUGCACCUAGCCGGCUAAUGCUCCUUCUAGUGUGCAACUGGGAUUGAACCAUGCAGUCGGC
Molecule: long non-coding RNA, 236 nt
Filed under: Phoenix dactylifera (date palm)
Lineage: Eukaryota; Viridiplantae; Streptophyta; Magnoliopsida; Arecales; Arecaceae
Description: long non-coding RNA (PDAC_LNC008101)
Source: RNAcentral